GUGGUGUUUGGAUCGUCUCUGCCGGCUGGCUCCGUGCCCGUCCACCGAACGGCCGGCAGGCGAUCCGUGUCGGUCGCGCGAGGUGGUUUAUGUAUGGUUACCCAGAGGCUGGUUCUUGUGUUGCCUACCCCUUGAGGGGAAGCGCAGGCACUUGAUGUAGGCCUCCAUCCGGCGCCCUCCGAUGGGCGCCGGAGGACAGCGUAGCGCCCCCCGCGUUCCACCGAGCCCUCGUCGGUCGCGUGGCCCGCGGGGACGUGCGAUGCUCUCGGACCCAGCGCACGCCGUGGGCGAGGACUCACGUCCAAGUCCCAAGAGAAGCUUCUAUGCAAUGUAUGACGGCCGCUCCCGCCCCACGACCGCCCCGGCGGCGCGGGGGCGCGGCGCGGCGUCGCGGAGGAAUGCUACCUGGUUGAUCCUGCCAGUAGUCAUAUGCUUGUCU
This 439-nucleotide unclassified non-coding RNA is filed under the name Acacia adoxa. RNAcentral's name for it is "partial external transcribed spacer". Lineage: Eukaryota; Viridiplantae; Streptophyta; Magnoliopsida; Fabales; Fabaceae. The record is from RNAcentral.